GGAGUCAUUUUGUGGGUUUUCAACGCAAUCCAAUCUCUAGAAAUAUACAAUACACCAACCACCCCAUUUCAGAACAAACUUCGUAGGAACCUUAAUUGUUCAAUUUCAUGGACCAAACGAAAUCGGAUUGAGUCCAAAACUUGGUGAACAUCAUAAUGUUGUGGGAUGAGUCAUUUGGUGAGUUUUGAGCAAAAUCCAAUGGGUAAAACUAUG
RNAcentral lists this long non-coding RNA (213 nucleotides) under Prunus persica (peach). Its description in RNAcentral is "long non-coding RNA (PPER_LNC008076)". Lineage: Eukaryota; Viridiplantae; Streptophyta; Magnoliopsida; Rosales; Rosaceae. The record is from RNAcentral.